UAAGCUAUAGCUUAAGUAUAAGCAUUUCGGUUACGUUGGAAAGAUCACUAAGUUUGGUGUAGCUUAAAU
This 69-nucleotide transfer RNA is filed under the name Caridina sp. FB-24. RNAcentral describes it as "tRNA-Val". The record is from RNAcentral. Lineage: Eukaryota; Metazoa; Arthropoda; Malacostraca; Decapoda; Atyidae. RNAcentral also lists the same sequence under 1 other name.